This 512-nucleotide ribosomal RNA is filed under the name uncultured bacterium. RNAcentral describes it as "partial 16S ribosomal RNA". It matches the Rfam family "Bacterial small subunit ribosomal RNA", at positions 28 to 507 of the family's 1533-position model. The record is from RNAcentral.
GAUGAACGCUGGCGGCGUGCCUAAUACAUGCAAGUCGAACGAAACUUCUUUAUCACCGAGUGCUUGCACUCACCGAUAAAGAGUUGAGUGGCGAACGGGUGAGUAACACGUGGGCAACCUGCCCAAAAGAGGGGGAUAACACUUGGAAACAGGUGCUAAUACCGCAUAACCAUAGUUACCGCAUGGUAACUAUGUAAAAGGUGGCUAUACUACCGCUUUUGGAUGGGCCCGCGGCGCAUUAGCUAGUUGGUAGGGUAAAGGCUUACCAAGGCAAUGAUGCGUAGCCGAAUUGAGAGAUUGAUCGGCCACAUUGGGACUGAGACACGGCCCAAACUCCUACGGGAGGCAGCAGUAGGGAAUCUUCCACAAUGGGCGAAAGCCUGAUGGAGCAACGCCGCGUGGGUGAAGAAGGUCUUCGGAUCGUAAAACCCUGUUGUUAGAGAAGAAAGUGCGUGAGAGUAACUGUUCACGUUUCGACGGUAUCUAACCAGAAAGCCACGGCUAACUACGUG